CCAAUAGCGUAUAUUAAAGUUGUUGCAGUUAAAAAGCUCGUAGUUGAAUUUCGGGAUCAAUAUAUCGGUCGUGCCAUCGGUACGUACUGGUAUCAUUGGUUUCUCCUUUCUGACGAACCAUGAUGUCAUUAAUUUGGUGUUAUGGGAAGUUAGGACUGUUACUUUGAAAAAAUUAGAGUGUUUAAAGCAGGCUAACGCUUGAAUACAUUAGCAUGGAAUAAUGAAAUAGGACGUUCGAUCCUAUUUUGUUGGUUUCUAGGAUUGACGUAAUGAUUAAUAGGGAUAGUUGGGGGCAUUAGUAUUCAAUUGUCAGAGGUGAAAUUCUUGGAUUUAUUGAAGACUAACUACUGCGAAAGCAUUUGCCAAGGAUGUUUUCAUUAAUCAAGAACGAAAGUUAGGGGAUCGAAGACGAUCAGAUACCGUCGUAGUCUUAACCAUAAACUAUGCCGACUAGGGAUCGGAUGAUGUUAAUUUUUUAAUGACUCAUUCGGCGCCUUACG
Molecule: ribosomal RNA, 500 nt
Filed under: uncultured Glomeromycotina
Lineage: Eukaryota; Fungi; Glomeromycota
Description: partial small subunit ribosomal RNA
Rfam family: Eukaryotic small subunit ribosomal RNA
Source: RNAcentral